RNAcentral lists this long non-coding RNA (1736 nucleotides) under Mus musculus (house mouse). Its description in RNAcentral is "predicted gene, 42346, transcript variant 2 (Gm42346)". Lineage: Eukaryota; Metazoa; Chordata; Mammalia; Rodentia; Muridae. The record is from RNAcentral.
CUCUUUGUUUCUUGGCUGCCUCGUGGUAAGGAACUACUGGAGGAAGACUCAUGCCUAGUAUUUGCUGAACCUGAAAACUUCUUUAAGCUGCAGUUGUUGUGCUGGCCUCCUAGGAUAUUCAGCAGCUGGUCCUGUCACCUUCCAGAUAUUCAUAUGCUCAGCCAAAUCUGCAUAACUGUAAAUCAACACUAAGAGCAGUGGAAGGUUAAAGGUAAAGGAGAGUCUCACAAAGGAUCCAGGAGAACUCUGAAGAGGAACUGAGGGCCUGAAGGAAGAGAGUGGGAUCAACAGCCCAUCCUUGCCAGUAGGAGUCUGGAGCUGCAUGGUUUGGAACUAGGACUAGAGAACACUGCCUGGGGACUCACAGUAUUGUCCCCAAGUUAAGCCUUGUGGAAAUUUUCAGUCACCAGAGCAGUGGCAGGAACUGCAAACAAGAAGACUUGGAAACUCCAAGGUCACAGUAACUACAAGGCUAGUGGAUGGACAGGCAGUGGACCAUGAUUGAAACCCCUUACUCUGCUGCUCAUAAGAACACUGAUCUUCAAAUUCUAUUGUGCAUUUCAUAACUGUGUAAUUAAAUUGCUGACUAUGUAAAUGUGACUUAUCCUGAUUUUUUUAAUUCAUCUUAUUGUUGCCAGAAUACUUACAUAAUAAUUUUUGAGAGAAUGGGAUUGUUUGUUGGAAACAUGGUUAUAUUUCUCUGGUGGCAGGUUCAAAGCUCAUACAAUUCGCAUUCAUCCAUGUUUUUUAACGCUGCUAUUUAAUCACUGUGCUAGUCAAGAUCUUUGCCAUUGGAGAUUAUGCAUCCACUGGGAGGUUUAAAAAUUAGUCCCAUAAGGAUCACUGGAGUUUUCAUUGAAUUUUAAGCAAUAUUUAUCAAUUUAAAAAAAUUUUAGCUGUCUUUAGAUUAGUAAAAAUUUAGUAAAAUUUUUUUGGCUCACAUAUAUAUACUAUCAUAUCAUAUGAAAAUAGGUAAAUCACUAUUUUUUUCUUUCCAAAUGGUAUUCCCUUAGAUUCUCUUAGUUGCCUUAUUGCUUGAGCUAGAACUUCUAAUACUAUAUCAAAGAGACAUGGGGACAAUUGACAGACUUUUUUUGUGUUAGAGAAUUCUUUCUUUAAACCUUUGGUAUUAAUAUGGAAUUUUUUUUAUGUAAUUCCAAAGCCUUUAGUACACUUCCUAUCAAUUAAUGGUCAAUUUCUUUAUUACUCUGUGCCAGAGAGCCUGGCAAAUCUGUAUGGGAUCUUAUAUGUGUUAUAUGUAGUCAAUUACUCUUAUUUGUUGUAGUUGAAUAAAUAGUGAAGUCAGUUCAGAAUCAUCCUAAAUAAGAUCAACAGGCUCUAUGUGUAAAACAAACGUUUCUGUAUAUUGAGAGUCAGUUACUAUGUUAAGACACUUGAAAAUCUGAGAACACCAUGACUAUAUUGCACAUAAUUAAGAUUUUUGAACUGAUUUCUAGGGACUGUCAGCCACCUUACUUAAAUCUUCUGCCUUUCCUGAAUUUUAGCCUCAGUGUAAAAUGUAGUGGCUCCAGAUAUUGGAAUUCCCUUUAGUGUAUGAGGGAAAAUCCAAGUAGUCCAUUUUAUGAACUGAAGCCACUUGAUUUUAGGGUAUCUGUUGUUAAUAACUCCAAGAAAUUACUGCGUGCUUUUUACCAAAGUUCAUGUUGUAUCUAUAGUGAGUCAAUCUCUGCAUUAAUAAAUGGUACCACGAUUUCAGCUGGAUCCAUUCCAACUAA